This is a long non-coding RNA of Papaver somniferum (opium poppy), 2811 nucleotides long. RefSeq lists it as uncharacterized. The record is from RefSeq and is a predicted model, not a curated record. The transcript has 3 exons. Lineage: Eukaryota; Viridiplantae; Streptophyta; Magnoliopsida; Ranunculales; Papaveraceae.
CCUAUAAAAACGCUGCAGUUUGUCUGACAUCUUCUCCAGUUCGUUGUUUCUGCAUCUUUCUCUGCAACAAUGGCAGCAGAUAAGGAAGAAGGAUGUGUUUUGCAUGAAUACUUGAUAGUCUGAUAAAGUCGUUAUAGGUUUGCUUUGGAUUCUUAGCCUUGGGGCAACCAAAUCGAGGCCUAAAGCAAGAAACAAGACCUCCAAUUGGAAAACAUAUAGAGUGCUCGACAAAAAGCCUGAACCAUUACUAGCUUAGUUCCAUUGGGUUGCUUCCAUGGAUUCGUUGGCUGUUUACAAUGAGUUAGAAGAAGAUUUUGAAGUUGAUAUGGAACUGAAGAUUGGGUAGUGUUCACUGAUCUGGGUUAGGGUUUAGGCGAGAAAUUAGUUGAUGGGGAUAAUUGUCUGCCAUCGAUCCACAGUGACGGAGGAAAUGACCUGUGUGCAAAGAACAACAUCAUCAACAACAACAAGAGAGGAUACUGAAACUAGGGCUGUUUAAGGUGCUUGGAUGGCAUUAUUUGUGCCUGCUGCAUCCAUGAUUAAGAGAUUACCUGCUGAAGGUGCUUGGAUGCCAUGCUAUCAGUUGGUAAUGUUCUCAUUGUUCUGUGAUGUGCUUUUCUAUAUGCUUAAUUUUGAACUUUAAUUUCACUGGUGGCUCAGGCCAUACGAUAUUCUUGCUUGCGCCAAUAUUACUUCUCCAUAACUCCAACUUAAUUGCUGGGUUCAAGGGUCGCUAGAGAUAUUUCUGUGUACUUAGUUGUGACUGCGGUUUACAGAAUAUGAGAACAGCUUUCGUACAUUUAUCUAGCAGACAAAGAUAGGAUGGCCUGACUGUUUAUUGCGAUCAAGCAUACUGCACUUUUUAACUUGACAUUCCCAAGUCAUAUCAUGUUCAACCAGUUUGCAAGGAUCCACAUAAAUCAGACAGAUGUAGACAACUUUAAGAUAUUGGGGUCUAUUACCUAUCCCAGUAGUACCUAAUGCCGAGACAUAAGAUCUACAGAAAUGAAAUAUAUUUAAAUCAACCAACAUUCACUCUGUACUACCUAUAAGUAAGUUUUCAAAUGAUAUAAUUAAAUCUCUCUCUUCGCCGGUAGCCUUUCAGUGGGUGAUAGGAGCUCUGAUCUGCACCGUUGUCUAGGAUUCAUGCAAGGUAGAACUACGUUUUAGUUUAUUCAACAUCUUCUAAAUUAACUAAUAUAUAUUAGUCAAAAACAAAAGAAUUCAGUAAGAUACUUGGUGUAGUUUCUUGAGAUAGAUUAGUAUUUUUCAAUGGGUGAUCUAAUUUGGCACACAAUACUGAAGCUCCUUACCCACCAAGAGGCAUUUCCCUUCAUGUUUAAUUAAAAUCAUUUAGCAGCAGUAUCACUCACUUCUUACCGAGGUUAAUGUUCAAUUAUUUGUUGACCUGCAGAUGAUACCCAUAAUGGGUUAAUGUGCUUACUGUUUUUGAUCUAAUAUACAUUUUUAAUUUGUCACACUCUAAGGUGAGUUUAUGAAUUAAUGUUUGUACACUCCUGUUUAUAGCCAUCCAACUUUGAGGCCCCCGUAAGAUCAUAUUGUUGUCUUAGCUAUUUAGCAUAACAUCAUAGCUAUCAGUUUAGCCCAAUUCCCGGUUAAUCAUCCUUGAAGAUGUCAAGAAAGUACACAUUAUUUGCUAUAUAAUUUGUUAGGCUGGCAAUUUAGUUCAUAUAAACUAUAUAGGAUGAUAGCCGACUGGCAAUUAGGCACUACAAAGGUUGAUGUUUUGUUCACUGAAGUAGAAUAAGAUAUCGAUAGUGAUGCAGGUCUAAAAGAUAAUGCGAGAUAACCAUUAUGGAGUUUGUACAAAGAUAAUUUAUACGGGUGGACAGAAUGACCUAGGGGUUCUAUUAUGCGUUAUCACACAAACCUGUGAACACAGGUAAAUUCCUAAUUUUCAUCUUACUUUUGUUCUUUGUUGUUAAGUAUCCCGAAUUUGCUAAGCUCAACACCUGCAAUGAUGAAUAGAAAUUAUUUUUUUUUGUUGUUAAGAUGUUUUCUUUUUUAUUUUGAUUUCUGAGUUUCUUUUCAUGUUCUUAUGACUCCAGUCUACUGGGAUUUCUUUGUUGGUCAUUGAUAACCGACAUAAAGAAAUUUGAUUAUAAUUAAAUUCGUGACUUUUUUCAACAAAUCCUUAACUCAUGGUGCUUAUAUUGGACAAACCCAAUCCUUGAUUUUGCUGUCAUGCGGCUGGGGUCGUUAGUGCGGGAGAGAUAUAACCUGCUGUCCGUUCCUUGGUUUCCUCAUAUAACUAUGUUUCGACCUUGAAACUAUGCAACUGUGGAACUAUCCUCACUGUGGUUUUGGGCGCAUUAGAGUUUCCAGUACUGCAUCGCUGCUUGAUUUCUAAAGCCAGUGGAAUCAUUGGACCCUUGGAACAAAGAUAGGGAAAGUGUUUCUGCACCAGGUUAGUGUUUCUGCUUUUCGUCCCAUUAUUUUAUAAUUUAGGACAAUCCCAAAACAAAGUGGUUAGAGGAUGGUUUUGCCGUUUACCUGUACGGGUGGCGGCGGACCAAGGAGUAUGGUACUAACACUAUCAGGAAUUGGUCUUUUAGUGUCUAUGUCCCAAAGAGUAUUGAUGUAGCAAUCAGUGAAGUGAAGUUGGAAGCAUACAACUUUGCAUCUUGAAAUAUUGUUCUUAUUCUGCUCUUACCUGGCUUACAUCGUUUGAAGUUUCUUUGAACUAUCCAAAGCUACAGUGAACUCCAUCAUUAAUGUGGUUGAUUUCUUAUUUGUGGUUAAAGUAAGUUAAAUCUGAAUAAUUUUUAUUGUAUCAACAUAAAUACACAA